RNAcentral lists this long non-coding RNA (425 nucleotides) under Lathyrus oleraceus (garden pea). Its description in RNAcentral is "Pisum sativum (pea) long non-coding RNA (PSAT_LNC032171)". Lineage: Eukaryota; Viridiplantae; Streptophyta; Magnoliopsida; Fabales; Fabaceae. The record is from RNAcentral.
GAAGAACUUUUGAAAUGACCGGGGGCGAAAAGAACUUUUCUACAUUUUGGGUUUGUAUAAAUGGGGGCAUUUGGCCUUUUUUUACUAAAUUGUAGUCUUAGUGUUGAGCUUCGUAAAAAAACCAGUAUAUACCAUAUUAUAUUGAAAGAGUUGAUAACAUUCUCAUAUUCCAUUCCUAAAGUCACACCCAGUAUAUACCAUAUUAUAUUGAAAGAGUUGAUAACAUUCUCAUAUUCCAUUCCUAAAGUCACACCGGUUGAAUUCUAACCAUGUAUCUAACUUAUUUGUGGAUACAAAGUAGUUUUCUUUGAGUUUUGAGUGCAAACCUAUUGUUAGACAAAUUCAGAUACACCAUGAAUGACAACCACAUUCAAAAUCAAAAACGAGAAGUGAUCUGUGAAAACAAAGCCUUGAAGUUCUUUGUU